RNAcentral lists this ribosomal RNA (630 nucleotides) under Triticum aestivum (bread wheat). RNAcentral's name for it is "partial small subunit ribosomal RNA". The record is from RNAcentral. Lineage: Eukaryota; Viridiplantae; Streptophyta; Magnoliopsida; Poales; Poaceae.
AUGGAGAUCAAGAUCAAGCUCCGUAUCCCCGAUGCGGCUGCACAUCGGCGCCUCUCCUCCUUCCUCGUGCCCCGCCUGCUCCGCACCGACGCCCCCGCGCGGCCCCUCGCCGCCGCUGCCGCCACCGCCACCGCCGCCCAGCGGGACGUCCGCCUCUACGGCACCGACGACUGCGACCCCUCCUGCGCCGUCCUCACGCUCAAGCCGCCCCCACGCAUCGACGCCGGCGUCAGCCGCGUUGAGGAGGUCGUGGAGCCCCUCGACCCUGCCCUCGCCCUCACCUGCGUUGACAACCCCGCCUGUCUCGGCGCGGUUGACUCCCCCAUCAUCCGGCUCAUCUCCGACGAGUACGGCGUCGGCGGGUACAAAGCGCCGUUCAUCUGCCUCGGCGGCUUCCGGAACACCCGCGGUGUGUAUGAGCUCGAGGAGGGCGAGGGGCAGGGGCUCGUGCUAGAGCUCGACGAGACACACUUCCAUUUUGGCACAAACUACGAGCUGGAGUGCGAGACCGCGGAGCCCGACCAGGCCAAGGAGGUCCUGGAGCGGCUGCUCACCAUGGUUGGGGUGCCGUAUGAGUACUCUCGGAGCAAUAAGUUCGCAUGCUUCAUGGCCGGGAAGCUGCUUCUGUGA